AUGUUCACGUGUAUUACCCACCCAUUGCACACGCAUGUGCACACACGUGCUCUUCACACACGCAGACACCUUUUGCACACGCAUUGCACGCACACUGUGCACUCAUGGACACAUACACCACACGCGUGUGAACACACACGCAUUGCACACGUAUGUGCUGACACAAUGCACACGUAUGUGCACACAUGUUGCCCACACAUUGCACACGUAUGUGCACACACGUGCUCUUCAUGCACACGGACACACAUUGCACACUCAUGUGCACACCCAAUGCACACGCACAUGCACACGCAUUGCCCACACAUUGCACAUGCAUGUGCACACGCAAUGCACACACGUAUGUGCACACUUAUUGGCCACACAUUGCACAUGCGUGUGCACACACCCAUUGCACAAGCAUUGCACACACGUAUGUGCACACGUAUUGCACACGCACCGCACACGUAUGUGCACACACGUGCUCUACAUGCACACGGACACAAAUUGCACACUCAUGUGCACACCCAAUGCACACGUAUGUGCGCACGCAUUGCCCACACAUUGCACAUGCAUGUGCACACGCAAUGCACACAUGUAUGUGCACACUUAUUGGCCACACAUUGCACAUGCGUGUGCACACACCCAUUGCACAUGCAUUGCACACACAUAUGUGCACACGUAUUGCACCCCCACCGCACACGUAUGUGCACACACGUGCUCUUCAUGCACACAGACACACAUUGCACACUCAUGUGCUCACCCAAUGCACACGCACAUGCACAUGCACAUGCACACGCAUUGCCCACACACUGCACACGCAUGUUCACACACAAUGCACACGUAUGUGCACACUUAUUGGCCACACAUUGCACAUGCGUGUGCACACACCCAUUGCACACGCACCACUCACGUAUGUGCACACGUAUUGCACAUCCACCGCACAUGUAUGUGCACACACUUGCACACUUAUUACACACUGCACACACAUGUGCACACACGUGCUCUUCAUGGACACAGAUAUCUUUUGCACACACAAACUGUGCACGCAUGGGCACAUACACCACACACGUGUGUUUGCACACCCAUUGCACAUGUAUGUGCUCACACAGUGCCCACCCAUUGCACACGCGUGUGCACACAAGUGCUCUUCACACACAUAAACUCCUUUUGCACACGCAUUGCACGCACACUGUACACGCAUGGGCACACACACCACACACGUGUGAACGCACACCCAUUGCACACACAUGUGCACACACGUGCUCACCUAUUGCUCACUGUACACGCAUGUGCACAUACAUACACCAUACAUGUUCAUGUACACGUAUUACACCCCCCGCAUGCACAAUGCACACACCUCCUUGCACACGCAAUUGCACACAUGUGACACAUGGGCACAUACACCACACACGUGUGUUUGCACACCCAUUGCACACGUAUGUGCUCACGCAUUGCACACCCAUUGCACAUGUAUGUGCUCACACAGUGCACACCCGUUGCACACGCGUGUGCAGACACAAUGCACACCCAUUGCACACAUGA
RNAcentral lists this long non-coding RNA (1521 nucleotides) under Coturnix japonica (Japanese quail). Its description in RNAcentral is "lncRNA (ENSCJPG00005005817.1)". Lineage: Eukaryota; Metazoa; Chordata; Aves; Galliformes; Phasianidae. The record is from RNAcentral.